GCCACUUUCUGGGGCCGACAGUCCACUGCCGGCGCCCCCUCCACCAGCUCCGGCCUCUGUGUCGAAGCCGAGAAAAGAGAAGUCCCUAUCGGUGCUGUGUGCUAGGUUUCUGGAAAUAUACCCGUUGGACGUCGGAAAGGACAUGUUCCUCCCCUUAGACGAGACGGCCCUUCUUUUGGGCACUGAGCGAAGAAGAAUAUAUGACAUAGUAAAUGUUCUAGAAAGUCUGCAUUUCUCGAUUAAGCUGGAAAAGAACCGGUACGCGUGGAUCGGUAGGCGCGACCUGUUGGAGACGCUGGGUCGGCUGAAGGGGCUGGCGCUGCACCUGGAGCUGCCGCAGCACCUGCGGGCGGCGCUGCAGGUGUCG
This 367-nucleotide long non-coding RNA is filed under the name Pollicipes pollicipes. RNAcentral describes it as "uncharacterized LOC119091267". Lineage: Eukaryota; Metazoa; Arthropoda; Thecostraca; Pollicipedomorpha; Pollicipedidae. The record is from RNAcentral.